RNAcentral lists this transfer RNA (62 nucleotides) under Metacrangonyx goulmimensis. RNAcentral describes it as "transfer RNA Asparagine". The record is from RNAcentral. Lineage: Eukaryota; Metazoa; Arthropoda; Malacostraca; Amphipoda; Metacrangonyctidae.
UUAGUAGAAGCCAAAAAGAGGCUUGUUAUUGUUAAUAAUAGAAAUGAAAUUAUCCUGCUAUU